UCGAGAAUCUUCGGGAAUGGGCGAAAGCCUGACCGAGCGAUGCCGCGUGCGGGAUGAAGGCCUUCGGGUUGUAAACCGCUGUCGUAGGGGAGAAAGGGUCGUUGAAGAAACGACUUUGAUCUAUCCUAGGAGGAAGUCCGGGCUAAGUUCGUGCCAGCAGCCGCGGUAACACGAACCGGACAAACGUUAUUCGGAAUUACUGGGCUUAAAGGGUGCGUAGGCGGUGCGGUAAGUGCGGUGUGAAAUCCCACGGCUCAACCGUGGAAUUGCGCUGCAUACUGCCGUGCUAGAGGGAGACAGGGGUAAGCGGAACUGAUGGUGGAGCGGUGAAAUGCGUUGAUAUCAUCAGGAACACCGGUGGCGAAAGCGGCUUACUGGGUCUCUUCUGACGCUGAGGCACGAAAGCUAGGGUAGCGAACGGGAUUAGAUACCCGGGUAGUCCCUGAGCGGGCUGGCAAGGCGCAU
Molecule: ribosomal RNA, 465 nt
Filed under: uncultured bacterium
Lineage: Bacteria
Description: bacterial SSU rRNA
Rfam family: Bacterial small subunit ribosomal RNA
Source: RNAcentral